This 459-nucleotide ribosomal RNA is filed under the name uncultured bacterium. Its description in RNAcentral is "partial 16S ribosomal RNA". It matches the Rfam family "Bacterial small subunit ribosomal RNA", at positions 338 to 795 of the family's 1533-position model. The record is from RNAcentral.
CCUACGGGAGGCUGCAGUGAGGAAUAUUGGUCAAUGGGCGCGAGCCUGAACCAGCCAAGUAGCGUGAAGGAUGACUGCCCUACGGGUUGUAAACUUCUUUUAUAAAGGAAUAAAGUGAGGCACGUGUGCCUUUUUGUAUGUACUUUAUGAAUAAGGAUCGGCUAACUCCGUGCCAGCAGCCGCGGUAAUACGGAGGAUCCGAGCGUUAUCCGGAUUUAUUGGGUUUAAAGGGAGCGUAGAUGGGUUGUUAAGUCAGUGGUAAAAGCCCGGGGCUCAACCCCGGCGAGCCGUUGAAACUGGCUGUCUUGAGAUGUCGAGAGGUAUGCGGAAUGCGCAGUGUAGCGGUGAAAUGCAUAGAUAUCACGCAGAACGCCGAUUGCGAAGGCAGCAUACCGGCGCCCAACUGACGCUGAGGCACGAAAGCGUGGGGAUCGAACAGGAUUAGAUACCCCAGUAGUC